Molecule: ribosomal RNA, 422 nt
Filed under: Verrucomicrobiota bacterium
Lineage: Bacteria; Pseudomonadati; Verrucomicrobiota
Description: Verrucomicrobia bacterium partial 16S ribosomal RNA
Rfam family: Bacterial small subunit ribosomal RNA
Source: RNAcentral
UGGGGAAUUUUGCACAAUGGGCGCAAGCCUGAUGCAGCGACGCCGCGUGAGGGAUGAAGGCCUUCGGGUUGUAAACCUUUUUCGCUCAUGGUCAAGCCGCAGCUUUGGGUUGUGGUGAGGGUAGUGGGGAAAGAAGCGCCGGCUAACUACGUGCCAGCAGCCGCGGUAAUACGUAGGGCGCGAGCGUUGUCCGGAAUUAUUGGGCGUAAAGGGCUUGUAGGCGGUUGGCCGCGUCUGCCGUGAAAUCCUCUGGCUUAACUGGGGGCGUGCGGUGGGUACGGGUUGACUGGAGUGCGGUAGGGGAGACUGGAAUUCCUGGUGUAGCGGUGGAAUGCGCAGAUAUCAGGAGGAACACCGGUGGCGAAGGCGGGUCUCUGGGCCGUUACUGACGCUGAGGAGCGAAAGCGUGGGGAGCGAACAGG